GCCAUGGCUCAUUGGAAGAGCCUCUGCUUUGCAUGCAAAUGGCCCUAGGUUCAAUCCCCAGUAUCUCCG
This 69-nucleotide transfer RNA is filed under the name Sphaerodactylus townsendi. Its description in RNAcentral is "tRNA-Ala". Lineage: Eukaryota; Metazoa; Chordata; Lepidosauria; Squamata; Sphaerodactylidae. The record is from RNAcentral.